This 534-nucleotide long non-coding RNA is filed under the name Homo sapiens (human). Its description in RNAcentral is "HSALNT0027954". The record is from RNAcentral. Lineage: Eukaryota; Metazoa; Chordata; Mammalia; Primates; Hominidae.
ACAGGGACCCCUUUCUUAGGCUGAAAUUAAAGACUCAAGGAAACAGUGAGAACUAGAGGCUAGAGCAGAUGGCAGGAAUGUGACCACUGGGAUAAAUUAAGGGUUUACAAAAAGAUGCUCUGGUCAGUGUAGCUCCAAGACCUUGUGGCCAAGGCCAUCAGCAUGUCAAUCUUGUCUUAGUAAACUGUACAUGUACAAGUAAGGGUGGCAGCAUGAAAGGUACCACUCUGCUGCACACAGUAACGAGCCUGAUCUGAACACACAGAGCCCUCACGAGAUGGUGGCACCAAUGGCAAGGCCAAGACUGACAGUGCCUCUGGCCAGCCUUCUGCUUCUAGUUUAGAGGAAUUUCCCAACCUCCUACUGAGGAAGAAGAUCACAUCCCAAGGACAUAUUGCAAGUAUUUUACUGCUGCACGCUAGGCCUGCUCAUUGAUCCAAGAGGCAUCUAGAAUACCUGCUAUAGCAAAAGACUGAUUGACAAGAGAAAAACGUACAAAUUUAGUGAGUGUCUCCUCCAAGCCAGAACUCUGAG